This 3438-nucleotide long non-coding RNA is filed under the name Mus musculus (house mouse). RNAcentral's name for it is "long non-coding RNA chr10:28858076-28861514". The record is from RNAcentral. Lineage: Eukaryota; Metazoa; Chordata; Mammalia; Rodentia; Muridae.
UAUAGCUUCUGACCAGCAGAGGGUCAGAGCCCAGCUCAUGUACUCAAAGCUUGAGGAGCUCUGGGCCUGCAGGGUUCUAGAUGCCAGCACAAUGUCCCACCUGAGGAAGCUGUAAACCAAGGCUGGAGGAAAAGGUGGAAAUUGGCUUCCGAUGUCUGAUGGAGUAAGACCUGUCACAUGUGGCUUCAGUGGACUCCCAAUAACAACAUAAAGAAGAAAGGAAUUGAAAGAUGCAAAAUGACAGCUUCUUUUUUUUUUUUUAAGUAAGGCAGCUCAAAUGCACCUUUUCCCCACUAGUAUGAGAGAAAAUAUAUUCUGUGCAGAGAAAGGGGUCAGUAAUUCUAUGUGUAUAAUUAUGUGAAACCUUAGAAUAUUGUCUGAAAGAGAGGAUGAUAUGGAUGGUCAGAUUUAGAUUAGUUUUCACAGUUUGUGUUCCUUCUUGUUUAAAUACCUUCCCCAGAAAAAUCAAAUUACAUCAGAGUCUCAUAAUGCAGAAUGAGAAACUUCUUGCUGUGUUAAUCCAUUUGGUAAUCGAUAUUAUUUAUUGAGCUGACACCCGAUGACCAAGGAGAAUACACAAAUAAAGGUACAAGGCAAAGGAGAAAAAUUACUUUCGGCUUCCAUAUUCUUAAUUGUUUUUCUUAAUUUAAUAAUAUCUCUGGUCAUUAACUUAUUUGUAGUCAUUCAGACAGAAAUCAAACAAGAAGCCCUCACCUAAGAGGGUAAAGAAAGUUUACAUGGAGGCCUGCAUCCACUUCUCUCAAAUUUUGUGGUCAUCAGGACAUGAAUGGCAGGUGUCUGUCUCUUACAGUUGGAGUAUUAUAAUGCAGUCUCAGAACUAGUGUUCUCCUAAGAGCUAGUGUUUCUCUGGAAGAUGGUUUCACUUGAGCAUAGCACAAUAAUAGGAUCAAAGUUAGUAAAGAAAUCCCCAAAUAUUACCAGACAUUUCUUCAGAGUUACCGCUUAUGUUUACUUUCUGAAUAGAAAUAGUCGAGAUGUUCAUACACAGUGGCUGUUUAUGAAUGCUGAGAAGGUGGUUUCUUUAAGAACACAUCUGUUUGGAGAGGAUUGCUCUUUUAUAAGGGUGCUAUCUUCUGGCCCCUGAGGAUAUUGCAUGAACAUACAGCCUGCCUACAUAUAAAUAAUUAAAGGUAAGAAUAAGUCUUUAAAAUAUAAAAAAGAAGAGCAUCAGAAGUCAUAUAAUGGUCCUUUAGUAUCACCAGUUAGGAUUCUUAUGCCUAGAAAUUCCACAGAACAAUUUAAUUUUGAUUGUGCAACUAUGGAGCUAAAAAAAAAAAAAAAGCCUGAUGCAUGUCAUUCCAAACGCCAAUUCCUCUGCUCUUGCCACACAUUUUCAUUCUAUAAGUUUCCUCUGUACUCCAUCUUCAACUUGAAGGUUCAGUAUCUAAGCAGUGACAAAGAGUGACACCCCCCCAUUUUUGUUUCAUCUACCAGGCAAUUUUCUAAUAUACUGGGUUCUGUUUUCACACUCAGUUAUAGAUUCUUGCUUUAUCUAACAUAACUGUCAUUUUCACUUGUAAUUUCUAUAGGUAGUUGACCAGUGUAAUUUGAAUCAGAGAUAUAAAGGAUAGUAUAUAACCAUCUGUCCUUCAAUGAUGCAAUAAUUAGCAUGCUUAAAAUAUUUUAAAUACAUAUUUGAUAGAUUAAAAUGAAGGACUGGGGUAGAGAAAAAAAUUCUUCUAAUGAGGAGACACUUAGGGUGUUGAAUGAGAUGUUCUACAUAUGAAUGCCACUCAGAAUUUUGUCCAUAGUAAGAUGGGAUGGGGAAAUAGCGAUCCAGAAUUCAUGGUAGUUAGAGAUUAGUAGGCAAAUAAUGGAAACGAGAAGAGAUGUGUUCUAUAGCUAGAUGGUGGGCAUAUGAAAGCAGCAGGAAGUGAGAGCCAGGGACCAUCAACCCAAGGAUAACCUGAAGACAAUGACCAUCAUUUAGAGUAAAUGAGUCUCCAGUGCCCCUGUAGCCAGUGUACGAAGGUAGAAGCUGUGUUCUAAAAGAAAGUUUAAUAUAUAGUGAAAUUUGUGAGCCACGAAAGAAGAGAGAAAGUCGGAGUAAAAUGAUUUGUUAAUCAUGUAAAGGGAAAGAAGAGAGAGCCAAGGGUUAAUAGAAGGCAAGCAGGCAAUGAAGAAAUAACAGUGUGGGAACUUCAUCGUGGCAGAAAAUAAAUAGUAAUUUAUGAUGUAGGAACCAGACUUGUGGCACCGAAACUCAGUAGAGGUUGGGAUUGGGCCAGUGACUCAUGAACCACAAGAUCCUUUGAGGGUCCAUGUUGGAGACAGGACAUGGCUAUGAAUAAGGUAAAGAGUUAGAAAACCCCACACGGCUCAUCUGGGGGAGACUCUGCUUAGGCUCUUUCAGCAGAUGUACAUUACUAAUUUAUGAAAUUCUAAUGUAUUUCUAAAAUAUCUAAGUCUACAAAUGUUUGCACCAAGAAACUCAUAUAAAGGUAUAAUUGCUGGCCCAUUAUGAAUCAGGUGGCUAUUUUCUCCCAUAGUGGCUUUAUGACAAAGUUCUCUAAUAAUAUCUAAAAUGUCUUCUUUAGCAUUUGGACUAUAGCAUAGCAUAAUUACCACAAACUGCAGAUUUUGAUCCACAGCUUUAUUUAUUUGUUUGUUUAAAUCCUUAGAAGCAUUAGUUUACUUGUUUUGUGUGUGUCUGAGAGGAGAAGGAGAGGAAAUGCUCUGUGCCACAGAGUACACGUGGGGGUCCGAGCACUACUUACAGGGUUCAGGUCUCAGCUUAGGUUUUUUUGUGGUUUGUGAAUGAGUCAAAUACCAACUAGUCAAAUAUGAGCUUGUGGGUGCCAGGGAUCAAACUCAGGUCAUCAAGUUCCUCAGGCAAAUGCCUUUAUCCACUUAGUGACCCCUCAACUGUUUAAUGUUAUCAGUUGAAUGUGGUAUGAAAAAAAUCCAGCUAUUUGCCCAUUCAUCUAGUUUAUUGCUUAGUAUGGGGAAUUUAUUAUUUAAUUUCUACCUUGACAUUAAUAUAUUUUCAAAAGCAUGUAAUUCAACAAUCAAGAAGGUAUGUACAUGCUGAAUAUUAUUCUUUUCAAAUAUUGUAUGAUGAUACUAGUAGGCUUGGCAAUAGACAUUAUUAUUACUGAUUUAUAUUUUUUUGGCUUGUGAGCAAGUGGAAUAUAUGCACUGUGAUGAUAAAUAGUUAAAUUUGCUAUUCAUAAUCAAAAUGAUCCUUUGAUUUAUCCCUGGCAAUACCACUAAAUAGCUAUCCUUUGAUAUUAGAAGGGGACUUGAGAAUUAUCUGUGCAUGCUUGCCACUUUAUUUUUAUUCUCUCAUUAGGUAUUUUGAAAUACCAUAUUUGACAAGUCCGAGGCUGUCAUAUAUUUGCUUUGUCACACAACACUGUUUGGGAUAGAUCUUGGUUGAAUGAAACAGUUAUUACUGCACAGUAUUACAUGACUACC